Molecule: ribosomal RNA, 461 nt
Filed under: uncultured bacterium
Lineage: Bacteria
Description: bacterial SSU rRNA
Rfam family: Bacterial small subunit ribosomal RNA
Source: RNAcentral
AACGAACGCUGGCGGCAGGCCUAACACAUGCAAGUCGAACGGGACCUUCGGGUCUAGUGGCGGACGGGUGAGUAACGCGUGGGAACGUGCCCUUUGGUUCGGAAUAGCCUCGGGAAACUGGGAGUAAUACCGGAUACGGUCGAGAGACGAAAGAUUUAUCGCCGAAGGAUCGGCCCGCGUUGGAUUAGGUAGUUGGUGGGGUAAAGGCCUACCAAGCCGACGAUCCAUAGCUGGUCUGAGAGGAUGAUCAGCCACAUUGGGACUGAGACACGGCCCAAACUCCUACGGGAGGCAGCAGUGGGGAAUAUUGGACAAUGGGCGCAAGCCUGAUCCAGCCAUGCCGCGUGAGUGAUGAAGGCCCUAGGGUUGUAAAGGCUCUUUCACCGGUGAAGAUAAUGACGGUAACCGGAGAAGAAGCCCCGGCUAACUUCGUGCCAGCAGCCGCGGUAAAGUGACUACUG